ACUCCUACGGGAGGCAGCAGUGGGGAAUAUUGGACAAUGGGCGCAAGCCUGAUCCAGCCAUGCCGCGUGAGUGAUGAAGGCCCUAGGGUUGUAAAGCUCUUUCACCGGAGAAGAUAAUGACGGUAUCCGGAGAAGAAGCCCCGGCUAACUUCGUGCCAGCAGCCGCGGUAAUACGAAGGGGGCUAGCGUUGUUCGGAAUUACUGGGCGUAAAGCGCACGUAGGCGAAUCGAUCAGUCAGGGGUGAAAUCCCAGGGCUCAACCCUGGAACUGCCUUUGAUACUGUCGAUCUGGAGUAUGGAAGAGGUGAGUGGAAUUCCGAGUGUAGAGGUGAAAUUCGUAGAUAUUCGGAGGAACACCAGUGGCGAAGGCGGCUCACUGGUCCAUUACUGACGCUGAGGUGCGAAAGCGUGGGGAGCAAACAGGAUUAGAUACCCCUGUAGUCCCAUGA
Molecule: ribosomal RNA, 449 nt
Filed under: uncultured organism
Description: partial 16S ribosomal RNA
Rfam family: Bacterial small subunit ribosomal RNA
Source: RNAcentral